CCUACGGGUGGCAGCAGUGAGGAAUAUUGGUCAAUGGCCGUAGGGCUGAACCAGCCAAGUCGCGUGAGGGAUGAAGGUACUAUGGAUCGUAAACCUCUUUUAUCAGGGAAUAAAGUGCGGGACGUGUCCCGUUUUGUGUGUACCUUAUGAAUAAGGAUCGGCUAACUCCGUGCCAGCAGCCGCGGUAAUACGGAGGAUGCGAGCGUUAUCCGGAUUUAUUGGGUUAAAGGGGUGCGCAGGCGGAUUGUAAAGUCAGGGGUAAAAUUCCGGGGCUAAACCCAGACGUGCCGUUGAAACUGGGGGUCGUGAGUAAGUGAGAGGUAUGCGGAAUGCGUGGUGUAGCGGUGAAAUGCAUAGAUAUCACGCAGAACUCCGAGUGCGAAGGCAGCAUGCC
RNAcentral lists this ribosomal RNA (394 nucleotides) under uncultured bacterium. RNAcentral describes it as "partial 16S ribosomal RNA". It matches the Rfam family "Bacterial small subunit ribosomal RNA", at positions 338 to 730 of the family's 1533-position model. The record is from RNAcentral.